CGCAUCUGUGCAUGCAGCAUAUCAAUAAGCGGAGGAAAAGAGGGCUAUUACCUACGCUUAGGAUGUUGACACACGCGCGUGCUCGGCUCUAUACAUGACUCUGCGCAUAUCAAUAAGCGGAGGAAAAGGCUGCAGAACUGAACGACCGCUACCUACGCUUAGGAUGUUGACACACGCGCGUGCUCGACUCUAUACAUGACUCUGUGCAUAUCAAUAAGCGGAGGAAAAGCAGUUCUAUGAAAAACAGCCACGAUCAGCCGGGCUGGAACUAUACCUACGCUUAGGAUGUUGACACACGCGCGUGCUCGGAUCUAUACAUGACUCUGUGCAUAUCAAUAAGCGGAGGAAAAGAAACUAACAAGGAUUCCCUUAGUAACGGCGAGUGAAGCGGGAAGAGCUCAAAUUUGAAAUCUUCAAGGUUUUACCUUGACGAAUUGUAGUUUAAAGAAGUGUUUUCUGUUGAAGUUUUGGUAAAAGUUCUUUGGAAUAGGACAUCAUAGAGGGUGAGAAUCCCGUAUUUGACCAUUAUUUUCAGCUGUGUGAUACACUUUCAAAGAGUCGGAUUGUUUGGGAAUGCAGUCCAAAAUGGGUGGUAAAUUUCAUCUAAAGCUAAAUAUUGGCGAGAGACCGAUAGCGAACAAGUACCGUGAGGGAAAGAUGAAAAGAACUUUGAAAAGAGAGUUAAACAGUACGUGAAAUUGUCAAAAGGGAAGCGUUUGACACCAGUGUUGUUUUCUCGAAAAUCAAUUAAAAAGAGUUUGAUUUUGUUGUGCAUUGACCUUAACAGCUUGCAUUUCAAUUUUCUUGCUUUUUUUAAUGCACUUUUCGUUUAACAAGUCAACAUCAGUUUCUUUUGUUGUAAAAAGGUCAUUGGAAGGUGGCUUUCUUUUCGGAGAAAGUGUUUAUAGCCUUUGACUCCUGCAAUCGGAGAGACUGAGGUCUGCAGCGUAGAUCCUUCGGGGUUAGAUACAUUUGUGCUAAGUUAUAGCUUUUUAUAGACAACUUGUUGACUAUGAUUAGUCUUGUAGCUUACUCGCUUAUGCUAUUUUACCUACGCUUAGGAUGUUGACACACGCGCGUGCUCG
This 1085-nucleotide ribosomal RNA is filed under the name uncultured Neocallimastigales. Its description in RNAcentral is "partial large subunit ribosomal RNA". The stretch from base 290 to 1085 matches the Rfam family "Eukaryotic large subunit ribosomal RNA", at positions 1 to 644 of the family's 3401-position model. The record is from RNAcentral. Lineage: Eukaryota; Fungi; Neocallimastigomycota; Neocallimastigomycetes; Neocallimastigales.